This 1307-nucleotide ribosomal RNA is filed under the name Pterostichus melanarius. Its description in RNAcentral is "16S ribosomal RNA". The stretch from base 1061 to 1219 matches the Rfam family "Archaeal large subunit ribosomal RNA", at positions 2544 to 2703 of the family's 2987-position model. The record is from RNAcentral. Lineage: Eukaryota; Metazoa; Arthropoda; Insecta; Coleoptera; Carabidae.
UAUUUAAUAUUAGUUUAUUAAUUUUUAAUAGAAAUAAUUUUAAUUAUUUUAAUUUUUAGUAUAUUUUAUAGAAAAAAUUUUAUUAAUUAUAGUUUAAUUGUAUUGUAAAAGAUAAUUGAAAUAAUUUAUUAAUUAUUAAUAAGUAAAAUUUAAUUUUUGUACCUUGUGUAUCAGGGUUUAUUAAAUAAAUAUUAAUUAUAUUAAUUUUCUCGAUUUUAAGAGAGCUAAUAAAUUAUUUUUUUUAUUGUAAAAAAAAUAUUUAUAAUAAUUUAUUGGUAAUGAAAUGUUAUUCGUUCUUAAAUAUAUCUAGUUUAUUUAGAAAUGAAUUUAAUUCAGAUAUUUUAAUUUUAAUGGAUUAAUUUGUUAAUUUAUUAAAUUUUAAUAUUAAUAGUUAAAGGGAUUAGCUUUUAAUUAAAUUUUUAUAAAUUAAAUAAGAUAUUUUAAAAAAUGUAAGUUUAGAAAUAGCUAUCAAUAAUAAUAUGUUAUAAUUAAUUUAAUUUUUUUUAUAUUAUUUUAUAUAAUUUUAAUUUUUUUUAUAAAUAAAUAAUUUUUAAUUUUUAAAGAUUAGAUAUAAUGAUAGAAUUAGUAUAUAUUAAAUAUUUAAAUAAUAUUUUAUAAAAGAUUAUUUAAAGGAAUUCGGCAAAAAUUUUACUCGCCUGUUUAACAAAAACAUGUCUUUUUGAAUUAUAUUUAAAGUCUAGCCUGCCCACUGAAAUUUUUAAAUGGCCGCAGUAAUUUGACUGUGCAAAGGUAGCAUAAUCAUUAGUUUUUUAAUUAAAAGCUCGUAUGAAAGGUUGGACGAAGUAAAAUCUGUCUCUAUUUAAUUUAGAUUAGAAUUUAAUUUUUAAGUUAAAAAGCUUAAAUAUUUAUAAAAGACGAGAAGACCCUAUAGAGCUUUAUAAUUUAUUUAAUAUAAUUAAUUAAGAUUUAUUUAAGUUUUAUUAAUAUAAUUAUUUUAUUGGGGUAAUAGGAAGAUUUAAAAAAUUCUUUUUUAUUAUUAACAUUUAUUUAUGGUAUUAAUGAUCCAUUUUUAGUGAUUAUAAGAUUAAGUUACCUUAGGGAUAACAGCGUAAUUUUUUUAGAGAGUUCAUAUCGAUAAAAAAGGUUGCGACCUCGAUGUUGGAUUAAAGAUUAGUUUAGGUGUAGAAGUUUAAAUUUUUGGUCUGUUCGACCAUUAAAUCUUUACAUGAUCUGAGUUCAGACCGGUGUAAGCCAGGUCGGUUUCUAUCUUUAUUAAAUUAAAAUAUUUUAGUACGAAAGGACCAAAUAUUUGAUAUAUUGAUAUUUAUAUUUUUUGAAUAUUAUUA